GACGAACGCUGGCGGCGCGCUUAACACAUGCAAGUCGAGCGAGAACCAGCCCUUCGGGGCUGGGGACAGCGGCGAACGGGUGAGUAACACGUGGGUAAUCUGCCCUCGGCACCGGGAUAGCCCGGGGAAACCCGGAUUAAUACCGGAUGGCCUUUCGAGCUCUCGGGCUUGAAAGGAAAGGUAGCUUUGGCCUCCGGCCGAGGAUGAGCCCGCGGCCGAUUAGCUUGUUGGUGGGGUAAUGGCCCACCAAGGCGACGAUCGGUAGCUGGUCUGAGAGGACGAUCAGCCACACUGGGACUGAGACACGGCCCAGACUCCUACGGGAGGCAGCAGUGGGGAAUCUUGCGCAAUGGGCGAAAGCCUGACGCAGCGACGCCGUGUGCGGG
This 386-nucleotide ribosomal RNA is filed under the name uncultured bacterium. RNAcentral's name for it is "bacterial SSU rRNA". It matches the Rfam family "Bacterial small subunit ribosomal RNA", at positions 28 to 407 of the family's 1533-position model. The record is from RNAcentral.